GGCUGAGUAGCUCAGGUGGUUAGAGCACCAGAUUCAUAAACUGGAGGUCACAGGUUCAAAUCCCGUCUCAGCUACCA
Molecule: transfer RNA, 77 nt
Filed under: Candidatus Saccharimonadota bacterium
Lineage: Bacteria; Candidatus Saccharimonadota
Also listed under: 1 other name
Description: tRNA-Met
Rfam family: tRNA
About the family: Transfer RNA (tRNA) molecules are approximately 80 nucleotides in length. Their secondary structure includes four short double-helical elements and three loops (D, anti-codon, and T loops).
Source: RNAcentral